UACAGAGACUGCAAGCGUUAUUCGGAUUCACUGGGCGUAAAGGGUGCGCAGGCGGCCAAGUGUGUGAGGCGUGAAAGCCUGAAGCUUAACUCCAGAAUUGCACCUCAAACUACAUGGCUAGAGCAUUGGAGAGGGUAGCGGAAUUCACGGUGUAGCAGUGAAAUGCGUAGAUAUCGUGAGGAACACCAGAGGCGAAGGCGGCUACCUGGACAAUUGCUGACGCUCAGGCACGAAAGCGUGGGGAGCAAAAGGG
RNAcentral lists this ribosomal RNA (253 nucleotides) under uncultured bacterium. RNAcentral describes it as "partial 16S ribosomal RNA". It matches the Rfam family "Bacterial small subunit ribosomal RNA", at positions 524 to 776 of the family's 1533-position model. The record is from RNAcentral.